This 640-nucleotide long non-coding RNA is filed under the name Vulpes vulpes (red fox). Its description in RNAcentral is "lncRNA (ENSVVUG00000021160.1)". The record is from RNAcentral. Lineage: Eukaryota; Metazoa; Chordata; Mammalia; Carnivora; Canidae.
AGAUGGAUUUGUGCAAGGGAAGUGGUUAUUUUAAUAAGGAUUAUCUGAGUGAGCUCAGAAUAACCAGCUGCCUGUCUCCACAGGGAGCACUAUUUGACAUAAAUGAAGACAAGGACAAUGAUCAAGUCUGAAAGAGAGUUAAUUGAAAAGGAGUAGCCGACUCUGAUCUCCAGAUUGAGCUUCUGAGGAGGAUUUGGGGAAGCCAGAAAGAACAGAUCCCAGGUAGCUGUUGGUCCAAGGAAAACAAAAGAUGAGUGGAGCUGACCUGAAACUGACCUGCACUGUGAAGUGGAACUUGCCCAGGCUACUCUCAGGUCUAUAAGAAAACAAAUGAAUGUUGUUAAAAGAAAAUUUGGUGACCAGCCUUGUCCUGCAGAACAUUAUAGAAGAGGGAGCACCAAGGGAAUAGCACUGCUUGCCAUCAUCAGCAAAUCCAGACCUGAGUGUAUGUUUCUCCAAGUUCUGCCAGAAGCUCAGCGGGGAGAAGUGGUACUAAGGGGCCUACACUUUCCGUCUGCCUGUAGUUACUCCACAUUUAGUAUUGAAACAUGAAUUCUUACAUUCCAUAAAGGAAGCUAUAUUGGGAGAUUUUUCUUUUGUUUUUGUUUUUUGUUUUUUUUUCACCUGGCUUAUCUUUCUA